ACGGGAGGCAGCAGUGAGGAAUAUUGGUCAAUGGGCGAGAGCCUGAACCAGCCAAGUCGCGUGAAGGAUGAAGGUUCUAUGGAUUGUAAACUUCUUUUGUCUGAGGGUAAAGUGAGUCACGUGUGGCUUAUUGCAAGUAUCAGACGAAUAAGCAUCGGCUAACUCCGUGCCAGCAGCCGCGGUAAUACGGAGGAUGCGAGCGUUAUCCGGAUUUAUUGGGUUUAAAGGGUGCGUAGGCGGGCUAUUAAGUCAGCGGUCAAAUCGUGUUGCUCAACAAUACUGAGCCGUUGAAACUGGUGGUCUUGAGUGUAAACGAGGUAGGCGGAAUGUGACGUGUAGCGGUGAAAUGCUUAGAUAUGUCACAGAACCCCGAUUGCGAAGGCAGCUUACCAGCAUACAACUGACGCUGAGGCACGAAAGCGUGGGUAUCAAACAGGAUUAGAUACCCUGGUA
RNAcentral lists this ribosomal RNA (453 nucleotides) under uncultured Porphyromonadaceae bacterium. Its description in RNAcentral is "partial 16S ribosomal RNA". It matches the Rfam family "Bacterial small subunit ribosomal RNA", at positions 341 to 792 of the family's 1533-position model. Lineage: Bacteria; Pseudomonadati; Bacteroidota; Bacteroidia; Bacteroidales; Porphyromonadaceae. The record is from RNAcentral.